GUUGUACACGUUAACUGGUUGGUGGUUUAUUAACAUCGGGGGUUCAUAAUAAUUCGGCUCCAAGAAUUUGGCAAGUAACUUGUAUAACUUUGGGAUAACAAUGGUGUUUAUCGGGCGACUGUAUAGCAAAUACACAGGGUUUAGUUAAAGAUGUUUAUAUUUUAGAGCUGAUAUGUGACCAGUAUUUAUAGGCUCAUAGUUGUUUUGCGAUGCCUCUACAAACGUUGGCCGUAACUAUAACGGUCCCAAGGUAGCAAAUUUCCUUGUCGUUUAAGUAACGACCUGCAUGAAGGAUGGAACGAUUCGAUAGCUGUCUUGCGUACAUGUGCUGGUGAAAUAUUAGGUAGUGUGAAGAUACGGUAACAAUGUUAUGGGACAAAAAGACCCUGUGAAGCUUUAUA
This 401-nucleotide ribosomal RNA is filed under the name Alexandrium monilatum. RNAcentral's name for it is "partial Bacterial large subunit ribosomal RNA". It matches the Rfam family "Bacterial large subunit ribosomal RNA", at positions 1641 to 2105 of the family's 2925-position model. The record is from RNAcentral. Lineage: Eukaryota; Dinophyceae; Gonyaulacales; Pyrocystaceae.